Molecule: ribosomal RNA, 253 nt
Filed under: uncultured bacterium
Lineage: Bacteria
Description: partial 16S ribosomal RNA
Rfam family: Bacterial small subunit ribosomal RNA
Source: RNAcentral
UACGUAGGGGGCAAGCGUUGUUCGGAAUUACUGGGCGUAAAGGGCGCGUAGGCGGCAUGGCAAGUCGGGAGUGAAAGCCCGGGGCUCAACUCCGGAAUUGCCUUUAAGACUGCAUCGCUUGAAUCAUGGAGAGGUGAGUGGAAUUCCGAGUGUAGAGGUGAAAUUCGUAGAUAUUCGGAAGAACACCAGUGGCGAAGGCGACUCACUGGACAUGUAUUGACGCUGAGGUACGAAAGCGUGGGGAGCAAACAGG